AGAGUUUGAUCCUGGCUCAGGAUAAACGCUGGCGGCGUGCCUAACACAUGCAAGUCGAACGCUCUGAGUAAUCUAAUUAUUCAGAGAGUGGCGGACGGGUGAGGAACACGUGGGUAUCUGCCUUCGGGUGAGGAAUACCAGCGAGAAAUCGCUGACAAUACCGCAUAGCCUCGGCAACGAGGAAAGUCGCAAGACGCCUG
Molecule: ribosomal RNA, 200 nt
Filed under: uncultured bacterium
Lineage: Bacteria
Description: partial 16S ribosomal RNA
Rfam family: Bacterial small subunit ribosomal RNA
Source: RNAcentral